This 419-nucleotide ribosomal RNA is filed under the name bacterium. RNAcentral describes it as "partial 16S ribosomal RNA". It matches the Rfam family "Bacterial small subunit ribosomal RNA", at positions 355 to 776 of the family's 1533-position model. The record is from RNAcentral.
UGGGGGAUAUUGCACAAUGGGCGAAAGCCUGAUGCAGCGACGCCGCGUGGGGGAUGAAGGCCUUCGGGUUGUAAACUUCUUUUGCUCUGAACAAGGCAUGCUAAUGGGUGUGUUGAGUGUAGGGGUUGAUUAGCGCCGGCUAACUACGUGCCAGCAGCCGCGGUAAUACGGAGGGCGCGAGCGUUGUCCGGCAUUAUUGGGCGUAAAGGGCUUGUAGGUGGCUGGUUGCGUCUGUCGUGAAAGCUCAUGGCUUAACUGGGGGUUUGCGGUGGGUACGGGCUGGCUUGAGUGCAGUAGUGGAGGCUGGAAUUCCUGGUGUAGCGGUGGAAUGCGCAGAUAUCAGGAGGAAUACCGGUGGCGAAGGCGGGUCUCUGGGCUGUUACUGACACUGAGGAGCGAAAGCAUGGGGAGCGAACAGG